ACGAGCGAUAGUUUAGGUUUAGAACCUUGGCCUUGGGUGCCUAAAGUGGGAGGGAGGUACUUCCUUGUUCGA
Molecule: transfer RNA, 72 nt
Filed under: Aneides flavipunctatus (black salamander)
Lineage: Eukaryota; Metazoa; Chordata; Amphibia; Caudata; Plethodontidae
Description: tRNA-Pro
Rfam family: tRNA
About the family: Transfer RNA (tRNA) molecules are approximately 80 nucleotides in length.
Source: RNAcentral